CUCUCGAUCCGCACGGCCCCGCCCAUAACGCGGAUAAAAUCCACCUGAAUCGCAUUAAUGACAUGUUUAUCCCGCUAUUUCCUCUGCCUCAGUCCUUUCCAUCUUCCCAAAUUCCCCAAAUUGCGUCGUCCCCAUAGUCCCGUCCACCAUAUCACCUCCAAGCGAUCCCAGCGCCGCCGAUCUCCCGUGCCGCCACCACCUCCGCCGCCUCCUGGACAAGAGGCCACCACCAUUGAGCACCACUUCGGUGCGCCUGGUUGCCACCACGACUCUGGCCUUGGAAGGUCGUCCUACUGUCCUGGAUCGGGGAGGAGGCACGAUUUGGAUCUGGGCGGCGACGGCUAAGCAAGGGCACCUAUGCUAUCGAGGUACAUCUCUUCCCACUCUCCCCGCCUCCCUCUCUCUUCCCCGCCGGGGUCGCCGUGAGCCCGUGACCGUGGACUGGCGGGGAAUGGGGAGCUUCAACAGUGAGGAACGGGGAGCACGGGUGCUCUGCUGGUGGAGGCAUGUUUUGGGACGGGGAGACCUCUAGCCGUGUGGAAUGAAGUGAGCUUUGGAUGCAAACUGAAUUUCAUCUCUCUCGGUUCUUGUUUUCUGCUGAUAGCACAUAAUAACAUUGGUAAUGUUGAGCCGACAAAGAGAAGUAGCAGACUAAUUUCUAUGUCGACAAAUGAUGAUUUGCUCCCCGUAUGUGGUUUCUGGUCAUAUUGGGCUAUGUGAAAAUUGGUUUUUCUCUGUAUUCUCCAUAUGACAUUAUUUUAUAAUCGCUGGAAUAUGAAAAUAGAAUGGUGUGCAGUUCUGCCCUUGUGAGCAAUCUCUGAUGCUUAUAUAUACUAGCAGUAACGUGUAGUAUUAGGUAUGGCAAAGUAAAUUUGCUUCAACAAUCAAUUCCAGCGCAGCAAUUUUUUUAUGGGAUUUCUCUUGCAAUCUGCACUGAAUUUUGUACGCCGAUGCCAGUUUGAUGGUUUUGCUUUGAAUGGUCUUCUCAAGGAAACCGUGUUCAAUUUGUAUGUUUUGCUUUGAACGAGUCUUUCUGGAAAUCUGUAUGUGUACUUAUAUGGCUGGUUGGAAUUGUGCAAAUUGUGAUGGUUUGCUUUCUAUGAGCAACUACUUGAAUGCUGAAAUUUUAUACAGUACAUAUCAUGUCAACAACAUGUAUCUCUUUUUAUUUCACAUGUGGAUAGAGAAGUUGCCAUACAUUGUUGUCCCCUUGGCAAUAGUAUGUAAUUCUCAAAUUAACUUGCUAUCUUUGCUCAGUAGCAUUUAAUAUGACUAAUUUGAGAUCAGCAAAGAGGAAUGGGCCUGAAGAAAUACUGAUAUUGAGCUAGGUCUGCAAGGCGAUGUAUUGAGCUCUGCGUAGCCUUUGUAUGUGUUUUCGAUUCUCUUUUUUUUUUAAACAUAGCCUGUAGAUGUCCUACGGUAUAUGUUAGCACAACUACUGAAGGAUUUGCAGGUGAGCAACUGUUAUAUGAGUUUGGAUGACGGAAUAUCAGUAUUACAUCAAAAUCUACGGCUUUAUAUACUUUGUCACAUACUGCCAUAUUUCAUAUAUGACGACCAUAUCAAUCACGUGUUGUUUCUUUUUCAUUCAGAGUGUACAUUGCUUCCAGUGUAACAAGAACAGAAAAUAAGUCAUGAAUUUGUAGCAAGUGACGCCCUCAUUGGCAUUAUUUUUCUUACAUAUCCAAGAUAGUUAAAGCAUCGUGGGGACCAGGAGGCCAAGCAGUCUGUGGUGUCUCCGUCGUUGUUGCAAAGAAACAUGCCCAAACUUUGCUACAGGGAACUUUCUCUAUCGGUUCAGGUUGGACGAGCAAGACAACAUACUGCAGACUGGGAACAAGAGUAUGUUCGUCAUCAUUGAUAUGUGUUAAUACUCUCCUUGAGAUUGAUUCCUUUGCUUUCGCAAAAAAGCGUCAGAUACAUGGCGAGCUUCAAAAUAUCAGGUUGCAAAUACCAUCGUUGCUUUGGACCUUGCCAUGGAUGGAUGGACACUAAAUGACCACAAAUGCCUCUAGAUUAUUAAUAAGCGUGGUUCUACGUUCAGUGCUUUGGGCAUCUGUUUUGUCUCGGGCUGGUUCUACGUACCUGAUUUUGCUUGGAACAGCCACAGGGGCGAGGAUGUUAUAUUGAUGCAGCUUGGUUUGCUAACUAGCAAUGUUUUGUUUCUUAGACGGACAAACUUGUAUCUCAGAACCUUGAUGAAUUGUUUCAUUUGAUCAGCUUAUGUGGAAACUACUAAUUUUCAUUGCCUCUGUA
Molecule: RNA transcript, 2256 nt
Organism: Triticum aestivum (bread wheat)
Lineage: Eukaryota; Viridiplantae; Streptophyta; Magnoliopsida; Poales; Poaceae
Exons: 4
Source: RefSeq, a predicted model, not a curated record